CAGCCGCCGCGGUAAUACGUAGGGCGCAAGCGUUAUCCGGGAUUAUUGGGCGUAAAGAGCUCGUAGGCGGUUUGUCGCGUCUGCCGUGAAAGUCCGGGGCUCAACCCCGGAUCUGCGGUGGGUACGGGCAGACUAGAGUGAUGUAGGGGAGACUGGAAUUCCUGGUGUAGCGGUGAAAUGCGCAGAUAUCAGGAGGAACGCCGAUGGCGAAGGCAGGUCUCUGGGCAUUAACUGACGCUGAGGAGCGAAAGCAUGGGGAGCGAACAGGAUUAGAUACCCCCGUAGUCCCUGUCUCUUAUAC
Molecule: ribosomal RNA, 301 nt
Filed under: uncultured bacterium
Lineage: Bacteria
Description: partial 16S ribosomal RNA
Rfam family: Bacterial small subunit ribosomal RNA
Source: RNAcentral